Molecule: long non-coding RNA, 1689 nt
Organism: Acanthochromis polyacanthus (spiny chromis)
Lineage: Eukaryota; Metazoa; Chordata; Actinopteri; Pomacentridae
Exons: 2
Source: RefSeq, a predicted model, not a curated record
GGCGAAGGACGAGCAGAGACGAGGCGGGAAGUGAAAGGAAAAAAGAGGCUGUCUAAGUAGCUUAAGUGUUUUUUGUCUUCAUCUGUAGGGGAUCAAAGCUGGCUGCUGUUUCGAGAGCUGACUCCCUCCUAAGGAGGAUUAGUAGGAAGCAAAUUUGGCCAGGACAGAGCUGAGGAGGAAGACGAGGAGGAGGAAGGUUCCCAUGCCAGCACAGGUUUGUUGCUGCCUGAGCAGGACGACCAACAUGUUCUGAGCUGCUUCACUCCUUCUUCUACACAAACACGUCACACUGUCAUCACUCCAUCCUUCAAAUACCUCGGGGCCUCCAGUCGGGCCCCUCAGGAGCAGGAACAGAAACCACACUUUCCUGGAUGGACUGAGGUAAAUCUGCAGCGUUACAGACCUCAGAUUGUGACAUCAGGUUCAUUUUACAGCCUGUAAGGAAGUUCUCUCUCACACGGCUGCUUUUUCUUCUUCUCUGCUGUAAUUGAAGCUCUCAUAAUGGAUCUAACAGCCUCUCCAGAUGUGCUCUCCUGCCUGAAGGUGGUCCUGUGGUUCUCUGCCAGGUGAGACUCACCUGGAGGUCCCUGACAUGCCUCCUAAUUACCUCCAGCUUUCAUCUACCUGCAGCUUCUGAUUCUCACACAGAAGAGUUGGUCUGAGCUUCACAUGUAGAGUUCAGCUGCGGAAACUUUCACUCCUCUGACCUGGAACUAGUGGAAUUAAAGACCAGAGAAAUAAUUUAUCCUCAGGUUGAUCAAAAACUGAAGAACUUCCAGAAAAAUGAGCCGUUCCCAGAUGGUUCUUGGUAGGUUCUUAGGGAAGUUCCUUGAUGGUUCCUGGUACAUUCCUGGGUAGUUCCUUGAGGAUUCGUUCAAAGUUCUUGAAAUGUUCCUGAUGGACUGACCUUCAUGAUGGACUUCUUGUAGGUUCCUGAGUAGUUCCUAGAUGGUUCCUUGAGGAUACAUUCAAAGUUCUUGCAGUUUUCUGGACCAACUGACCUUCAGUUCUUAUAAUAAUGGACUGUUGUUUCUCUUAGCUGACUGGUUCUUGCCAUAAUAUGGAUUCUAACGGUUGUCAAAUAGGGCUGUUAACUGUGGACCAACCUGACUUCUGAUGGACCAACCCCAUUAACCCUUACAAGGCCAUGUUUCUGGAGAAGUACAUAUACUAAAACAUAUACUCAAACCACCUAAUCCAUAAAAAUAUCGAUCAAGUUUUGCGAGGUCGCAUUGUCGUAGACGUUCGCCAUAUUGAAUUUCGGCCGGUACGCGGCCCCGAUAAGAGCUUCGUAAUUACGGUGUGAACGAGUAUACCUGGUCCCGGCUUUUUAAGGGUUAAGAAGGACAAAAUCCCACUAAUGAACCUCGACAAGGAACACCUGUGAAGUGAAACCAUUUCAGGUUCUUCCUCAUGAAGCUCAUCCAGAGAAUGCAAAGUGUGUUUAAAGCAGGAAUCAAAGCAAAGAAUCUAAAAUAUAAAACAUGUUUUGACUUAUUCCACUCUUUUUGUUUUCUACAUAAUUCCAUCUGUGUAUAUUCAUAGUUUUGAUGUCUUCAGUGAGAAUCGUUAAUGUAAAUAUUCAUAAAAAAUAAAGAAAAACCAUUAAAUGAGAAGGUGUGUCCAGACUUUGGACUGGUAGUGUAGAUUUCUUGUGCUGUGGGAUGAAUAAAUGGCUGAAUGAAUAAA